AAUCAACGCUGGCGGCGUGCCUCAGACAUGCAAGUCGAACGAUUAAACUUUCCUUCGGGAAAGAUAUAAAGUGGCGCACGGGUGAGUAACACGUAAGUAAUCUACCCUCGAGUGGGGAAUAACGUUCGGAAACGGACGCUAAUACCGCAUAAUGCAGCGGCACCGCAAGGUGACAGUUGUUAAAGAUUUAUCGCUUGAGGAGGAGCUUGCGGCAGAUUAGCUAGUUGGUAAGGUAACGGCUACCAAGGCUACGAUCUGUAACCGGUCUAAGAGGACGGUCGGUCACACUGACACUGAAUAACGGGUCAGACUCCUACGGGAGGCAGCAGUCGGGAA
Molecule: ribosomal RNA, 336 nt
Filed under: uncultured bacterium
Lineage: Bacteria
Description: bacterial SSU rRNA
Rfam family: Bacterial small subunit ribosomal RNA
Source: RNAcentral